AUGGUCCGGGCCUUCACGAUGGUGGGUCCCGAUUCCAGGCUCAGCAGAUGCUCGCAGUGCAGAGUCGUUUCUCCGGGCUCGUCGGCGCAGUCGGUGUGCACCGUGGUGUGCGACUGCAGGACGCUGUUCCGGCCACACUCCCUUUUGUAG
Molecule: ribosomal RNA, 150 nt
Filed under: Triticum aestivum (bread wheat)
Lineage: Eukaryota; Viridiplantae; Streptophyta; Magnoliopsida; Poales; Poaceae
Description: partial small subunit ribosomal RNA
Source: RNAcentral